This is a long non-coding RNA of Chelonia mydas (Green sea turtle), 742 nucleotides long. RefSeq lists it as uncharacterized. NCBI's taxonomy places the organism in Eukaryota, Metazoa, Chordata, Testudines, Cheloniidae. The record is from RefSeq and is a predicted model, not a curated record. The transcript is spliced from 3 exons.
CCUCCCAGUCAGUCAGUCAGGAGCUGUAGGAGGAUGCUGUGCUGUUGGAGGAACUAAGCAAUACAAAUCUGUAUCUGACACAAGGAAGGAGGCCCUGAGCCCUUCUAGAUGCCAGAGGACAAAUUCCCGGCAGCUGAUCCUGGGAGGACUGUCUAGGCAACCCCUGGAGGUCUGAAGCAACUGCUCUUCCUUUCCAGCAGGAGACCUUUUCAGGAUGCAGCAUGGCAAGGCAGCAGGGCCUCCGGCAGGGAGCAACAAAUGCCUGAUUGCUGAUUGUGGGCUGUUCUGUUUCACCUGGGACCCCGAGAGGAGAAGAAACAUCCAAGAGGACUUGGCUGGAGGGUUGGGUGCUGGCCACUAGAAUGACAUACCUCCGUAGCACCCACUGGAUCCAUGAUACCCACCUUGCAAUUCUUGUACUAAUCCCCAUCUUGUCUAAUUUAACUAAUAAUUUCUCAUGUGGUACUGUGUCAAAUGUUCUUAGUCCAAAUAUAGUAAUCUACAAGGAAAUGAGGUUAAUCUAGCACAGCCUAACCUUGGGAAACCCAUGUUGCAUUACAUCCCCUUUUCCAUUUACCUGUAUGAAUUUAAAUAUUCAUUCCUUCACCAUUUGUUCCAAAGUUUUGCAUAAUAUUGAAACUAGACUAACAGGUCUGUAAUUGCCAGGAUCACUCCCCUUCCCCCAUUUCUUAAGCAUAGGUACAAUGUCAGCUAGUCUCCAGUCAUAUGGUACUACUGCCAA